RNAcentral lists this ribosomal RNA (468 nucleotides) under uncultured bacterium. RNAcentral's name for it is "partial 16S ribosomal RNA". It matches the Rfam family "Bacterial small subunit ribosomal RNA", at positions 28 to 507 of the family's 1533-position model. The record is from RNAcentral.
GACGAACGCUGGCGGCGUGCUUAACACAUGCAAGUCGAACGGAAAGGCCCUGCUUUUGUGGGGUGCUCGAGUGGCGAACGGGUGAGUAACACGUGAGUAACCUGCCCUUGACUUUGGGAUAACUUCAGGAAACUGGGGCUAAUAUCGGAUAGGAGCUCCUGCUGCAUGGUGGGGGUUGGAAAGUUUCGGCGGUUGGGGAUGGACUCGCGGCUUAUCGGCUUGUUGGUGGGGUAGUGGCUUACCAAGGCUUUGACGGGUAGCCGGCCUGAGAGGGUUACCGGCCACAAUGGGACUGAGAUACGGCCCAGACUGCUACGGGAGGCAGCAGUGGGGAAUAUUGCACAAUGGGCGGAAGCCUGAUGCAGCAACGCCGCGUGCGGGAUGACGGCCUUCGGGUUGUAAACCGCUUUCGCCUGUGACGAAGCGUGAGUGACGGUAAUGGGUAAAGAAGCACCGGCUAACUACGUG